CCUGACCCUAGAGAAGUUGCAAGUGUGGCUGCAGUGUCACAUGUGUGACAGUAGGUGGCAGAGAGAGGGAGGCUACGUCUACACUCAGUGUUCUGACCUGUGACCUUCUGAAUGAUUAGUGGCCUAACUCC
This is a small nucleolar RNA of Acomys russatus (golden spiny mouse), 131 nucleotides long. RefSeq annotates it as small nucleolar RNA SNORA17. NCBI's taxonomy places the organism in Eukaryota, Metazoa, Chordata, Mammalia, Rodentia, Muridae. The transcript has a single exon. The record is from RefSeq and is a predicted model, not a curated record.